RNAcentral lists this ribosomal RNA (672 nucleotides) under Prymnesium parvum. Its description in RNAcentral is "SSU rRNA". It matches the Rfam family "Eukaryotic small subunit ribosomal RNA", at positions 952 to 1648 of the family's 1831-position model. Lineage: Eukaryota; Haptophyta; Prymnesiales; Prymnesiaceae. The record is from RNAcentral.
CAUUUGCCAGGGAUGUUUUCACUGAUCAAGAACGAAAGUUAGGGGAUCGAAGACGAUCAGAUACCGUCGUAGUCUUAACCAUAAACCAUGCCGACUAGGGAUCGGCGGAAGUCCUUUUUGACUCCGUCGGCACCUUGAGGGAAACUAUAGUCUUUGGGUUCCGGGGGGAGUAUGGUCGCAAGGCUGAAACUUAAAGGAAUUGACGGAAGGGCACCACCAGGAGUGGAGCCUGCGGCUUAAUUUGACUCAACACGGGGAAACUUACCAGGUCCAGACAUUGUGAGGAUUGACAGAUUGAGAGCUCUUUCUUGAUUCGAUGGGUGGUGGUGCAUGGCCGUUCUUAGUUGGUGGAGUGAUUUGUCUGGUUAAUUCCGUUAACGAACGAGACCUUAGCCUAUUAAAUAGUGGCGCGAACACCUCGUUGGCGAGCACUUUUUAGAGGGACAACUUGUCUUCAACAAGUGGAAGUUUGAGGCAAUAACAGGUCUGUGAUGCCCUUAGAUGUUUUGGGCCGCACGCGCGCUACACUGAUGCACUCAACGAGUCUCUACCUUGACCGAAAGGUCCGGGAAACCUUUUGAACUUGCAUCGUGAUGGGGAUAGAUUAUUGCAACUAUUAAUCUUCAACGAGGAAUUCCUAGUAAGCGCAUGUCAUCAGCGUGCGUUGAUUAC